Molecule: long non-coding RNA, 824 nt
Organism: Galeopterus variegatus (Sunda flying lemur)
Lineage: Eukaryota; Metazoa; Chordata; Mammalia; Dermoptera; Cynocephalidae
Exons: 2
Source: RefSeq, a predicted model, not a curated record
UGAAUAAUACCUUAUUAAUAGACAUUUUGGGUGUUUUCAGUUUUUGAAUUUAUGAACAAUCGUGGAAUGAACACUUUGCUUGUAUAUCAUUUUGUAGUUCUGUGAAAUGUAUCUUGCACAUUUUAAAGAUUUUUUUCUAGGGGACACAUGUUUCUCCAGGAAGAUGGCACUGAUUUGCAGCACCACUGGCUGUUCCACGAGUGGCAUGCCCUCCAUGUUCUCACUAAACACAGGAUUAUGCUUAAAAUAAAAAUCUGUGCCAAUAUGGUGGAUGAAAAAUGGCAUCUCAGCAUUUUAGCCUCAAUUUUGAGUACUAACAAGGCUGAACAUGAAACUAGCUUAUUUUCUUUUCAGAAGCCCCUGAAUGUGACAGUGAUCCGUAGAGGGGAGAAAUACCAGCUUAGACUGGUUCCAACACGCUGGGCGGGGAAAGGACUGCUGGGCUGCAACAUUAUUCCUCUGCAAAGAUGAUUGUCCCUGCAGAACAAGAACAGGAAAGCAUCUUCCCGUGCCCUGGACUUGGAUCUACUGGGGAUUUCCUCAUUCUUUUCUCUGCCUUAAGCAUAAGGAUCUGGAAGAGGCUGGAAGCCUGAACUUCUAGAUGGUGGAAAUCCUAUGGCCUCCCAAUGUAAUCUCUCUGGUUUAAGGCAUUGUUAAAAACUCAAUUUGUGCUUAGUGUCAUUUGCAAAUAAGGCCAUUGCCCUAAAUGGGAAUUCUUUGGAUUAUGGGCAAGGGGGCAGGAGUUAUUCUGGCUAGUGCUCAUAUGACUUUAUUCUUUUAGGAAUUUUUUUUCAAAUAAAAAUAGUUUUACAGUGCUGACAUAA